This 736-nucleotide long non-coding RNA is filed under the name Ananas comosus (pineapple). RNAcentral's name for it is "long non-coding RNA (ACOM_LNC036484)". The record is from RNAcentral. Lineage: Eukaryota; Viridiplantae; Streptophyta; Magnoliopsida; Poales; Bromeliaceae.
AUCCACUGUUCACACGGACAGAGUCUCCCCUGUAUUUGCACGGCGUUGCACAAGUACAACAGAGUAUAAAUACAAUCACAACCACAACCAGAUGAACGACAAGAUAGAUAACAUUCAUCCAUUCCAUUCGCGCACACAGAUAUGAUACUUAAGUUAUGAAUAACAUUCCACAUCUAUCAAUUAAAAUGUUUCCUACCCGGAAACUGAUUUUGAAAUACUAAAUCCAUAAAACCACAGAAAAUCAAUUUGAAAACUGUUCCCUACACAGGAACCUUUAUCUUUUUAAAACGCUACCACGAGGGGUAGAAAACUAUUUUUAUUUCAAGAAAACACCAAUCCUUUAGCACAUUCCAAAACCAAUUGAAAACCCAGAUAUUCAGAUAAUAAAAUAAAACUGAACCAUAAUAUGUCUAAUUUAUUUAUUCAGGCAUGAAGGGUAAAAGAAAUAACCGACACGGGACGGAGCUCUAUCGCACGCUAGACACGCUCCUCACCAGCUGUCCCACUCGAACCUGCUACGUCACCUGUAAUGGGGGCGGGGGGUUAGAACAUGUAAACAUGUCUCCCCUCCCAGUAGGUACCGCAAGCCGGAGAGGGCGAGGGGUACUCACUAGUCACGGAGAACUAGAUAGGUAUAAGUGCUGGUAAGUAAAGAUACUGAUAAGUAGGGAGCUGACAAGUAUAGAUGCAGGUAAAUAAAACAGUAGCUACAAUAAACAGAUAAGGAUGUACUGAA